Molecule: ribosomal RNA, 497 nt
Filed under: uncultured bacterium
Lineage: Bacteria
Description: partial 16S ribosomal RNA
Rfam family: Bacterial small subunit ribosomal RNA
Source: RNAcentral
GAUGAACGCUGGCGGCGUGCCUAAUACAUGCAAGUCGAGCGAACAGACGAGGAGCUUGCUUCUCUGAUGUUAGCGGCGGACGGGUGAGUAACACGUGGAUAACCUACCUAUAAGACUGGGAUAACUUCGGGAAACCGUAGCUAAUACCGGAUAAUAUUUUGAACCGCAUGGUUCAAAAGUGAAAGACGGUCUUGCUGUCACUUAUAGAUGGAUCCGCGCUGCAUUAGCUAGUUGGUAAGGUAACGGCUUACCAAGGCAACGAUGCAUAGCCGACCUGAGAGGGUGAUCGGCCACACUGGAACUGAGACACGGUCCAGACUCCUACGGGAGGCAGCAGUAGGGAAUCUUCCGCAAUGGGCGAAAGCCUGACGGAGCAACGCCGCGUGAGUGAUGAAGGUCUUCGGAUCGUAAAACUCUGUUAUUAGGGAAGAACAUAUGUGUAAGUAACUGUGCACAUCUUGACGGUACCUAAUCAGAAAGCCACGGCUAACUACGUG